RNAcentral lists this ribosomal RNA (253 nucleotides) under uncultured bacterium. RNAcentral's name for it is "partial 16S ribosomal RNA". It matches the Rfam family "Bacterial small subunit ribosomal RNA", at positions 524 to 776 of the family's 1533-position model. The record is from RNAcentral.
UACGUAGGGACCGAGCGUUGUCCGGAAUCAUUGGGCGUAAAGAGCGUGUAGGCGGCCUUUUAAGUCCUGCGUGAAAUCCUGCGGCUCAACCGCAGACGGUCGUGGGAAACUGGAAGGCUAGAGUGCGGGAGAGGAGAGUGGAAUUCCCGGUGUAGCGGUGAAAUGCGCAGAUAUCGGGAAGAACACCCGUGGCGAAGGCGGCUCUCUGGGACGGUACUGACGCUGAGACGCGAAAGCGUGGGGAGCGAACAGG